Molecule: ribosomal RNA, 468 nt
Filed under: Escherichia coli
Lineage: Bacteria; Pseudomonadati; Pseudomonadota; Gammaproteobacteria; Enterobacterales; Enterobacteriaceae
Description: bacterial SSU rRNA
Rfam family: Bacterial small subunit ribosomal RNA
Source: RNAcentral
AUUGAACGCUGGCGGCAGGCCUAACACAUGCAAGUCGAACGGUAACAGGAAGCAGCUUGCUGCUUCGCUGACGAGUGGCGGACGGGUGAGUAAUGUCUGGGAAGCUGCCUGAUGGAGGGGGAUAACUACUGGAAACGGUAGCUAAUACCGCAUAAUGUCGCAAGACCAAAGAGGGGGACCUUCGGGCCUCUUGCCAUCGGAUGUGCCCAGAUGGGAUUAGCUUGUUGGUGGGGUAACGGCUCACCAAGGCGACGAUCCCUAGCUGGUCUGAGAGGAUGACCAGCCACACUGGAACUGAGACACGGUCCAGACUCCUACGGGAGGCAGCAGUGGGGAAUAUUGCACAAUGGGCGCAAGCCUGAUGCAGCCAUGCCGCGUGUAUGAAGAAGGCCUUCGGGUUGUAAAGUACUUUCAGCGGGGAGGAAGGGAGUAAAGUUAAUACCUUUGCUCAUUGACGUACCCGCAGAA